Bombus pascuorum is the source of this 852-nucleotide long non-coding RNA. RefSeq lists it as uncharacterized. The record is from RefSeq and is a predicted model, not a curated record. Lineage: Eukaryota; Metazoa; Arthropoda; Insecta; Hymenoptera; Apidae. The transcript has 2 exons.
GGGAUUCUUGAAAGAAAUCGAUUUUUAUUUACCUUCAACGCGUUGCUUCGUAGAAUACAGGAAAAACCAAGAUACCUUCGGAGGAAUUUCUUAUUUCUGAUAUUUCACUACUUCGUAUAAAAGACUAAAAAUGUGGCACGAUUUAUACUGACAUAAUCUUUAAGUGGAAUUUUUAAACGGUCUUACAUAUGAACGUUUUAUAGGAGAAAUAACAUAGAAAUGUAUGCGAGGGAGCUAUAUGAAAGCAACAAAUAAAUGUUCAUUAAAAAACACAGUGAUGAAGAUGUUUUGCAGGGAGGCUUUUGUACGACGUCGUGUACCUUUAAAAUUGAAGAAAGGUAAUAAAGUAAAUUACUCGAUUGAAGCUUGAAUGGCCACGUGCGUUGCGAAGGGGGAAAAUUUUAUCUUCGUUCCUCAAAAGCAAGAAGCAAAGGAUUUCGUGUUAUAAAACUCACCGGAAGUGGCCACUAUCGCGUACGUAGAUUUAUACUGUGGGCUGACAAGGGGUGAAUUGAAUUGUUCCAUUGUCAAAGACUCGUGCAUGCUUCCGUCCUCUGGCAUGUCCGGCGAUACGUGAUUGGCAGUCUCUGUCAGCAUUCCACCGGGAGUUAAAUUUAGUAGGAGUCCCUGUAAAACGUUCGAAUUGUUUGUAUCGAUCGAAAGUAUACAGAAAAGCCUGCCAUAUUAACCAAAUAUAAUCUCUACAUCGCGUACAAUUAUAUUCGUUAAUGGACUACUUUUCUGUUUCUCCUUUCGAACGAAACGCGCUCGUGUUGACUGGUAUAUACUACAGAUGACAAAGUUUGGGGACUUUUAAUGACAAAUUAAAAUCCAUCUUAUCGUUCUGGAAAA